GUACUGAUGAGGAGUGCCAAACUAGGACGAAACAGCUUUCCAGUAC
Molecule: non-coding RNA, 46 nt
Filed under: Trichobilharzia regenti
Lineage: Eukaryota; Metazoa; Platyhelminthes; Trematoda; Strigeidida; Schistosomatidae
Source: RNAcentral